This 200-nucleotide ribosomal RNA is filed under the name uncultured bacterium. Its description in RNAcentral is "partial 16S ribosomal RNA". It matches the Rfam family "Bacterial small subunit ribosomal RNA", at positions 8 to 226 of the family's 1533-position model. The record is from RNAcentral.
AGAGUUUGAUCCUGGCUCAGAAUCAACGCUGGCGGCGUGCCUAACACAUGCAAGUCGAGCGAGAAAGUGGAGCAAUCCAUGAGUAAAGCGGCGCACGGGUGAGUAACACGUGACUAACCUACUCGAGUGGGGAAUAACUUCGGGAAACCGAGGCUAAUACCGCAUAACACCUACGGGUCAAAAGAGCAAUCUGCUUGAGG